RNAcentral lists this ribosomal RNA (2902 nucleotides) under Klebsiella pneumoniae. RNAcentral's name for it is "23S ribosomal RNA". It matches the Rfam family "Bacterial large subunit ribosomal RNA". Lineage: Bacteria; Pseudomonadati; Pseudomonadota; Gammaproteobacteria; Enterobacterales; Enterobacteriaceae. The record is from RNAcentral.
GGUUAAGCGACUAAGCGUACACGGUGGAUGCCCUGGCAGUCAGAGGCGAUGAAGGACGUGCUAAUCUGCGAAAAGCGUCGGUAAGGUGAUAUGAACCGUUAUAGCCGGCGAUGUCCGAAUGGGGAAACCCAGUGCAAUUCGUUGCACUAUCGUUAACUGAAUACAUAGGUUAACGAGGCGAACCGGGGGAACUGAAACAUCUAAGUACCCCGAGGAAAAGAAAUCAACCGAGAUUCCCCCAGUAGCGGCGAGCGAACGGGGAGCAGCCCAGAGUCUGAAUCAGCUUGUGUGUUAGUGGAACGGUCUGGAAAGUCCGACGGUACAGGGUGAUAGUCCCGUACACCAAAAUGCACAGGCUGUGAACUCGAAGAGUAGGGCGGGACACGUGGUAUCCUGUCUGAAUAUGGGGGGACCAUCCUCCAAGGCUAAAUACUCCUGACUGACCGAUAGUGAACCAGUACCGUGAGGGAAAGGCGAAAAGAACCCCGGCGAGGGGAGUGAAAAAGAACCUGAAACCGUGUACGUACAAGCAGUGGGAGCACCUUCGGGUGUGACUGCGUACCUUUUGUAUAAUGGGUCAGCGACUUAUAUUCUGUAGCAAGGUUAACCGUAUAGGGGAGCCGCAGGGAAACCGAGUCUUAACUGGGCGUUAAGUUGCAGGGUAUAGACCCGAAACCCGGUGAUCUAGCCAUGGGCAGGUUGAAGGUUGGGUAACACUAACUGGAGGACCGAACCGACUAAUGUUGAAAAAUUAGCGGAUGACUUGUGGCUGGGGGUGAAAGGCCAAUCAAACCGGGAGAUAGCUGGUUCUCCCCGAAAGCUAUUUAGGUAGCGCCUCGUGAAUUCAUCUUCGGGGGUAGAGCACUGUUUCGGCUAGGGGGUCAUCCCGACUUACCAACCCGAUGCAAACUACGAAUACCGAAGAAUGUUAUCACGGGAGACACACGGCGGGUGCUAACGUCCGUCGUGAAGAGGGAAACAACCCAGACCGCCAGCUAAGGUCCCAAAGUCAUGGUUAAGUGGGAAACGAUGUGGGAAGGCACAGACAGCCAGGAUGUUGGCUUAGAAGCAGCCAUCAUUUAAAGAAAGCGUAAUAGCUCACUGGUCGAGUCGGCCUGCGCGGAAGAUGUAACGGGGCUAAACCAUGCACCGAAGCUGCGGCAGCGACACUAUGUGUUGUUGGGUAGGGGAGCGUUCUGUAAGCCUGCGAAGGUGUGCUGUGAGGCAUGCUGGAGGUAUCAGAAGUGCGAAUGCUGACAUAAGUAACGAUAAAGCGGGUGAAAAGCCCGCUCGCCGGAAGACCAAGGGUUCCUGUCCAACGUUAAUCGGGGCAGGGUGAGUCGACCCCUAAGGCGAGGCCGAAAGGCGUAGUCGAUGGGAAACAGGUUAAUAUUCCUGUACUUGGUGUUACUGCGAAGGGGGGACGGAGAAGGCUAUGUUAGCCGGGCGACGGUUGUCCCGGUUUAAGCAUGUAGGCUGAUUGUCCAGGCAAAUCCGGAUAAUCAAGGCUGAGGUGUGAUGACGAGGCACUACGGUGCUGAAGUAACAAAUGCCCUGCUUCCAGGAAAAGCCUCUAAGCAUCAGGUAACAUCAAAUCGUACCCCAAACCGACACAGGUGGUCAGGUAGAGAAUACCAAGGCGCUUGAGAGAACUCGGGUGAAGGAACUAGGCAAAAUGGUGCCGUAACUUCGGGAGAAGGCACGCUGGUGUGUAGGUGAAGUCCCUGCGGAUGGAGCUGAGACCAGUCGAAGAUACCAGCUGGCUGCAACUGUUUAUUAAAAACACAGCACUGUGCAAACACGAAAGUGGACGUAUACGGUGUGACGCCUGCCCGGUGCCGGAAGGUUAAUUGAUGGGGUUAUCCGUAAGGAGAAGCUCUUGAUCGAAGCCCCGGUAAACGGCGGCCGUAACUAUAACGGUCCUAAGGUAGCGAAAUUCCUUGUCGGGUAAGUUCCGACCUGCACGAAUGGCGUAAUGAUGGCCAGGCUGUCUCCACCCGAGACUCAGUGAAAUUGAACUCGCUGUGAAGAUGCAGUGUACCCGCGGCAAGACGGAAAGACCCCGUGAACCUUUACUAUAGCUUGACACUGAACAUUGAGCCUUGAUGUGUAGGAUAGGUGGGAGGCUUUGAAGCGUGGACGCCAGUCUGCGUGGAGCCAACCUUGAAAUACCACCCUUUAAUGUUUGAUGUUCUAACGUUGGCCCCUGACCGGGGUUGCGGACAGUGUCUGGUGGGUAGUUUGACUGGGGCGGUCUCCUCCCAAAGCGUAACGGAGGAGCACGAAGGUUAGCUAAUCCUGGUCGGACAUCAGGAGGUUAGUGCAAUGGCAUAAGCUAGCUUGACUGCGAGCGUGACGGCGCGAGCAGGUGCGAAAGCAGGUCAUAGUGAUCCGGUGGUUCUGAAUGGAAGGGCCAUCGCUCAACGGAUAAAAGGUACUCCGGGGAUAACAGGCUGAUACCGCCCAAGAGUUCAUAUCGACGGCGGUGUUUGGCACCUCGAUGUCGGCUCAUCACAUCCUGGGGCUGAAGUAGGUCCCAAGGGUAUGGCUGUUCGCCAUUUAAAGUGGUACGCGAGCUGGGUUUAGAACGUCGUGAGACAGUUCGGUCCCUAUCUGCCGUGGGCGCUGGAGAAUUGAGGGGGGCUGCUCCUAGUACGAGAGGACCGGAGUGGACGCAUCACUGGUGUUCGGGUUGUCAUGCCAAUGGCACUGCCCGGUAGCUAAAUGCGGAAGAGAUAAGUGCUGAAAGCAUCUAAGCACGAAACUUGCCCCGAGAUGAGUUCUCCCUGAGACUUUAAGUCUCCUGAAGGAACGUUAAAGACGAUGACGUUGAUAGGCCGGGUGUGUAAGCGCAGCGAUGCGUUGAGCUAACCGGUACUAAUGAACCGUGAGGCUUAACCUU